AGAGUUUGAUCAUGGCUCAGAUUGAACGCUGGCGGCAGGCCUAACACAUGCAAGUCGAGCGGUAGCACAGAGAGCUUGCUCUCGGGUGACGAGCGGCGGACGGGUGAGUAAUGUCUGGGAAACUGCCUGAUGGAGGGGGAUAACUACUGGAAACGGUAGCUAAUACCGCAUAACGUCGCAAGAACAAAGUGGGGGACCUUCGGGCCUCAUGCCAUCAGAUGUGCCCAGAUGGGAUUAGCUAGUAGGUGGGGUAACGGCUCACCUAGGCGACGAUCCCUAGCUGGUCUGAGAGGAUGACCAGCCACACUGGAACUGAGACACGGUCCAGACUCCUACGGGAGGCAGCAGUGGGGAAUAUUGCACAAUGGGCGCAAGCCUGAUGCAGCCAUGCCGCGUGUGUGAAGAAGGCCUUCGGGUUGUAAAGCACUUUCAGCGGGGAGGAAGGCGNCGAUUGACGUUACCCGCAGAAGAAGCACCGGCUAACUCCGUGCCAGCAGCCGCGGUAAUACGGAGGGUGCAAGCGUUAAUCGGAAUUACUGGGCGUAAAGCGCACGCAGGCGGUCUGUCAAGUCGGAUGUGAAAUCCCCGGGCUCAACCUGGGAACUGCAUUCGAAACUGGCAGGCUAGAGUCUUGUAGAGGGGGGUAGAAUUCCAGGUGUAGCGGUGAAAUGCGUAGAGAUCUGGAGGAAUACCGGUGGCGAAGGCGGCCCCCUGGACAAAGACUGACGCUCAGGUGCGAAAGCGUGGGGAGCAAACAGGAUUAGAUACCCUGGUAGUCCACGCCGUAAACGAUGUCGAUUUGGAGGUUGUGCCCUUGAGGCGUGGCUUCCGGAGCUAACGCGUUAAAUCGACCGCCUGGGGAGUACGGCCGCAAGGUUAAAACUCAAAUGAAUUGACGGGGGCCCGCACAAGCGGUGGAGCAUGUGGUUUAAUUCGAUGCAACGCGAAGAACCUUACCUGGUCUUGACAUCCACAGAACUUNUUGGUGCCUUCGGGAACUGUGAGACAGGUGCUGCAUGGCUGUCGUCAGCUCGUGUUGUGAAAUGUUGGGUUAAGUCCCGCAACGAGCGCAACCCUUAUCCUUUGUUGCCAGCGGUUAGGCCGGGAACUCAAAGGAGACUGCCAGUGAUAAACUGGAGGAAGGUGGGGAUGACGUCAAGUCAUCAUGGCCCUUACGACCAGGGCUACACACGUGCUACAAUGGCAUAUACAAAGAGAAGCGACCUCGCGAGAGCAAGCGGACCUCAUAAAGUAUGUCGUAGUCCGGAUUGGAGUCUGCAACUCGACUCCAUGAAGUCGGAAUCGCUAGUAAUCGUAGAUCAGAAUGCUACGGUGAAUACGUUCCCGGGCCUUGUACACACCGCCCGUCACACCAUGGGAGUGGGUUGCAAAAGAAGUAGGUAGCUUAACCUUCGGGAGGGCGCUUACCACUUUGUGAUUCAUGACUGGGGUGAAGUCGUAACAAGGUAACCGUAGGGGAACCUGCGGUUGGAUCACCU
RNAcentral lists this ribosomal RNA (1499 nucleotides) under Klebsiella pneumoniae. Its description in RNAcentral is "bacterial SSU rRNA". It matches the Rfam family "Bacterial small subunit ribosomal RNA". The record is from RNAcentral. Lineage: Bacteria; Pseudomonadati; Pseudomonadota; Gammaproteobacteria; Enterobacterales; Enterobacteriaceae.